This 478-nucleotide ribosomal RNA is filed under the name uncultured bacterium. RNAcentral's name for it is "partial 16S ribosomal RNA". It matches the Rfam family "Bacterial small subunit ribosomal RNA", at positions 28 to 507 of the family's 1533-position model. The record is from RNAcentral.
GACGAACGCUGGCGGCGUGCUUAACACAUGCAAGUCGAACGGGAUUUAGUAAACAGACGCCUCGGUGGAAGAUUACUAAUGAGAGUGGCGAACGGGUGAGUAACGCGUGAGCAACCUGCCUAUGACAGUGGGAUAGCCUCGGGAAACCGGGAUUAAUACCGCAUAAAAUCGUAGAAACACAUGUUUUAACGGUCAAAGAUUUAUCGGUCAUAGAUGGGCUCGCGUCUGAUUAGCUAGUUGGUGAGAUAACAGCCCACCAAGGCGACGAUCAGUAGCCGGUCUGAGAGGAUGAACGGCCACAUUGGAACUGAGACACGGUCCAAACUCCUACGGGAGGCAGCAGUGGGGAAUAUUGCACAAUGGGGGAAACCCUGAUGCAGCGACGCCGCGUGAACGAAGAAGGUAUUCGUAUCGUAAAGUUCUGUCCUAUGGGAAGAUAAUGACAGUACCAGAGAAGAAAGCUCCGGCUAAAUACGUG